RNAcentral lists this ribosomal RNA (1469 nucleotides) under Streptomyces sp. Its description in RNAcentral is "bacterial SSU rRNA". It matches the Rfam family "Bacterial small subunit ribosomal RNA". The record is from RNAcentral. Lineage: Bacteria; Bacillati; Actinomycetota; Actinomycetes; Kitasatosporales; Streptomycetaceae.
GUGCAUGGCGGCCGCUUACCAUGCAGUCGAACGAUGGAAGCCGCUUCGGUGGUGGAUUAGUGGCGAACGGGUGAGUAACACGUGGGCAAUCUGCCCUUCACUCUGGGACAAGCCCUGGAAACGGGGUCUAAUACCGGAUAACACUCUGUCCCGCAUGGGACGGGGUUGAAAGCUCCGGCGGUGAAGGAUGAGCCCGCGGCCUAUCAGCUUGUUGGUGGGGUAAUGGCCUACCAAGGCGACGACGGGUAGCCGGCCUGAGAGGGCGACCGGCCACACUGGGACUGAGACACGGCCCAGACUCCUACGGGAGGCAGCAGUGGGGAAUAUUGCACAAUGGGCGAAAGCCUGAUGCAGCGACGCCGCGUGAGGGAUGACGGCCUUCGGGUUGUAAACCUCUUUCAGCAGGGAAGAAGCGCAAGUGACGGUACCUGCAGAAGAAGCGCCGGCUAACUACGUGCCAGCAGCCGCGGUAAUACGUAGGGCGCAAGCGUUGUCCGGAAUUAUUGGGCGUAAAGAGCUCGUAGGCGGCUUGUCACGUCGGAUGUGAAAGCCCGGGGCUUAACCCCGGGUCUCCAUUUCGCAUACGGGGCUAGCUCAGAGUGUGGUAGGGGAGACUCGGAAUUCCUGGUGUAGCGGUGAAAUGCGCACAUAUCAGGAGGAACGCCGGCGGCCGAAAGGCGGAUCUCUGGGCACAUUACUGAACCCUCCAGGAGCGAAAUGCGUGUGGGACGCGAACCACGGAUUUAGAUACCCUGGAAGGUCCACGACUGGAAACGUAGAGCAACUAGGCGCUGGGCGACAUUCCACGUCGAUAGGUGCCGCAGUUCUAACGCAUUAACGUGCCACCUGCCUGAGGGAGCCACGCGCCGCAAGGACUAAAACUCAAAUGGAAUUGACGGGGGCCCGCACAAGCAGCGGAGCAUGUGGCUUAAUUCGACGCAACGCGAAGAACCUUACCAAGGCUUGACAUAUACCGGAAAGCAUCAGAGAUGGUGCCCCCCUUGUGGUCGGUAUACAGGUGGUGCAUGGCUGUCGUCAGCUCGUGUCGUGAGAUGUUGGGUUAAGUCCCGCAACGAGCGCAACCCUUGUUCUGUGUUGCCAGCAUGCCCUUCGGGGUGAUGGGGACUCACAGGAGACUGCCGGGGUCAACUCGGAGGAAGGUGGGGACGACGUCAAGUCAUCAUGCCCCUUAUGUCUUGGGCUGCACACGUGCUACAAUGGCCGGUACAAUGAGCUGCGAUGCCGCGAGGCGGAGCGAAUCUCAAAAAGCCGGUCUCAGUUCGGAUUGGGGUCUGCAACUCGACCCCAUGAAGUCGGAGUUGCUAGUAAUCGCAGAUCAGCAUUGCUGCGGUGAAUACGUUCCCGGGCCUUGUACACACCGCCCGUCACGUCACGAAAGUCGGUAACACCCGAAGCCGGUGGUAGCAGUCUGCUCUGUGGCUACGAGAGCGGUCGACAGCCGCCCCCUA